This 497-nucleotide ribosomal RNA is filed under the name uncultured bacterium. RNAcentral describes it as "partial 16S ribosomal RNA". It matches the Rfam family "Bacterial small subunit ribosomal RNA", at positions 28 to 507 of the family's 1533-position model. The record is from RNAcentral.
GAUGAACGCUGGCGGCGUGCCUAAUACAUGCAAGUCGAGCGAACAGACGAGGAGCUUGCUCCUCUGACGUUAGCGGCGGACGGGUGAGUAACACGUGGAUAACCUACCUAUAAGACUGGGAUAACUUCGGGAAACCGGAGCUAAUACCGGAUAAUAUAUUGAACCGCAUGGUUCAAUAGUGAAAGUCGGUUUUGCUGUCACUUAUAGAUGGAUCCGCGCCGCAUUAGCUAGUUGGUAAGGUAACGGCUUACCAAGGCAACGAUGCGUAGCCGACCUGAGAGGGUGAUCGGCGACACUGGAACUGAGACACGGUCCAGACUCCUGCGGGAGGCAGCAGUAGGGAAUCUUCCGCAAUGGGCGAGAGCCUGACGGAGCAACGCCGCGUGAAUGAUGAAGGUCUUCGGAUCGUAAAACUCUGUUAUUAGGGAAGAACAAAUGUGUAAGUAACUAUGCACGUCUUGACGGUACCUAAUCAGAAAGCCACGGCUAACUACGUG